AUUUCAUAUGUGGGAACAGGUUCCUUGAGGCAUAUCUCGCCCCAAGGAUAAUAGGGAAGCUCGGUGCAAAUCCGACACGGUCCCGCCACUGUAAGAGGGGAGUUUUGCGCAUACAGGCCACUUGUCCAGACUGGAUGGGGAAGGCAGCGCCGGACGAUGAUCCCAAAGUCAGGAGACCUGCCUGUUUCGACGACACUGA
RNAcentral lists this non-coding RNA (199 nucleotides) under Brevibacillus parabrevis. Lineage: Bacteria; Bacillati; Bacillota; Bacilli; Caryophanales; Paenibacillaceae. The record is from RNAcentral.